CGGCAAGCGUUUCUGUCCCUGCUCCGGUUUUGAAAUUGACCUUUGAAACUGCUUUUCUGUGUUUUGACGCUGAUAUCUACAAAAUGACUGUGAUUUUAUUCCAGUGCUAUCGUUUGUAAUUGAAACUUUUAAGAUGCGACUCUCAAAAAAUAUCUUCAUUGCAGUCGGGUUUCACACCUCUCUUUGUCUCGUGGUAUUUUGUUGCUGGCUAGUUAGCGGAUAUUAAGCGUCUCCCGGUUUGAAAUUGAUUUUGAAAGUGAUUUACUAUGACAAGGCGUUAACUACAGCAGCCUUUUAUACCUCAACUCUUGAUUCAGCCAAGGUAAGUGCCCCCCCCUUAUAUUUUCUAUGUAUGUGUUCAGCUGAUAUUUAGAAAAAAAUAGGUGUGUUUAGCGCUGGAUGUCAUUUUAUUCCAGAGCUGUUGUUUGUAAUUAAAACUUUUAAGAUUAGAUGGUACAGUGUUUUUACUCCCUUCCAAACAGUAAAGUUCCUCUUUGUUUCUCAGUAGGAAAUUUAAACCAGACAGUACAAGGCUACAUUUCAGUGUUACACAAUCAGUUUGCUAAUUGUUCUGUGAGAUUUGUUUGCAAAGUUUAAGGUGUUAAGUAGGACUGUGAACAUCUGGGUCUGCUUGCUGCUGGCAUUCUGCCAGAGCCCCAGCAACAAGACCGCCUCCCAGCAACGAGAGUGCCUGUCAGCCUUGCAAGGUACCCAAUUUUCCAAUUACUCUAUAACAAAACUGUUGUGGGCAACUAGACUGUCUCCUAAGUUUGCAAGCCAAUCACUUUGCCAAAUGUUCUUGUAAGAUUUGUUUGAAAAGUUUGAGGUGGUAACUGUGAGCUGUGAACAUCUGGGUUUGCUUGCUGCUGGCAUUUGACCAGCGUCUCAGCAACAACACUGCCUCCCAGCUUUGCAAGGUAAUUACUUUCCCAAUUACUGUACACCAAAACGAAGUAACUGUCGUGGUCAACAAAUCUGCCUCCCAACUUUCAAGGUAAUCACUUUCUCAAUUACAAUAUACAAACUGUUAUGGAACUUUACUUAACAAAGCCUUAAGACCGGGUAGUGACACUAUCAAUAUGUCUAUUUAAAGAAAAGAGAGAUUUUUUUUUGUUCUUGUAGUCCUCUUGUCUGUCAAUGUAUCAGAGGGUUAAAAUAACAAAUUGCUUGAAAUGCCAAUAAUUAAUAUUCUGUUUUUAUGUUGACAUUCUACCAGAUGCCGAAAAAAAAUAAAAGAUCCCAGGCACAAAAGAAGCGCUGGAAACCGCUUGACCUGGUCGAUCCUGCAAUGCUCACUGGCCACAACCAAGAUGAGGCAGUCAGUAGUUUUCCAUCUGACCAGCAGACGGCACCAGCCGGGUUAUCUUUGGAAACACAGGAUAGACCCACCUCCUUAUGUUCCCCAGGUACCAAGACAGCACCAGCCAGCUUGUCCUUGGAAACGGAGAAUAGACCCACCUCCUUAUGUCCUCCAGGCAGCAAGAGUUCAGAAACUCGUCCACCAGCAAAACGAGUCUGGGCAACCGAUGAUUUCCACAUGGCAUCAAAUUCUCCACCUAAAAAGCCUUUCCACAACACAAAUGAACAACUACUGACAGAGGAGCUACAGAGCAACGCAGUUCAGCACUUCUGGUGUGUCAGUGCAACUCAUUGUCAAAGUGAUGAAAGGUACACAGAAUUCUCUCGAAAUCAUCAGUGCACAUGUAAUGCCCUCACAUUCCUGGCCUACCUUAAUGAGGAACACCAGUUCAACACAGCCCGACUUGAUAAGGUGCUUGAACAGGGAGAUGCACUCUACUGUUGGAUUAAAACAAAUCUUCAGCAGGAGAGGCGUUAUACACAAGAUCAUCUGACCAUGGAGGACCUGCCCAAAGAAGUUCAUGCUGACAUAAAUGUCUACAGUGUGAAAAUGGACAACAUAAGGUAUGGAUACCUGGAAGCAGCAGACAAAACUUACCAAAGAAAAGAGUGGUGGUUGCCUCUUGCUAGUCGCCUUGUAUGUCUGUCAACAGAUGUGAACUAUGCUUUGCUCAUGGUUUCACCUCAGUGCAUUGCAGUUUUCCGUGACAAAUCUGGGAGGUAUGGAUUAUUUGAUUCACAUUCAAGAAGUGUAGCAGGUUUACCCCAGCCAAAUGGAACAGCAGUCAUGCUCACUUUCACUCAUGUGAAUGACCUGAUCAACCACCUGCAUAACCUUUUUCAAAAUCAAGGCAGGUAUGCAAGAUAUGAGUUUGUGCCUGUUUCUUUCAAAAGAGUCAGCACUCACAACGAACAGCCUGCACAGUCAACUCGGGCAACAGCAGCAACAGCUACAUCAUCACCACAAAAUGAUGAACCACAAAUCACAAAUUCCACUGUGCAAGUGCCUCAACCAGAAUCGGCCCAAACCUACAUGACAAUGUUAGAAAAUACUUCAAACUCAUCACAAGACAAAAUGGCUUCAAAUCAAAUCUGUGAACAUCAACUUGAAACAUCUGUUGACCCAACAAGCAACAUCCAGAAAGAACAACAAGAAAUUGGCCUCAAUAAUGAAAGCGAUAAAGUAAAAGAUAAAACCCACCAAAAAGCAAGAAAUGUGAGCAGAUUAAAUAAAGGACGACGUGGGAAAGCUAUUCGUCAAGCUCAAAAAAGUCAGAGGGAGUAUGUAAAAGCUAAAGACAAAUCUUCAACUGAAGAAGUGGCAAAGAAGACUAACAAAAAAAGACAUGAAAGAGAACGAUAUGCCUGCUGUCGUGAAUUUCGAAUGAAAAGAUUACAGACUAUGAAAAUUCAAUAUGCUGAAAACUGUCAUUACCGUAAACAAAGACUAUUAUCAGCCAAAAAUUAUUAUGCAAAUCCUCAUAUUCAAGAAAAAGUAAAAGCCCACAAGGUGAAGAGAUACCAAAGUGAUCAUCAUUUUCAACGAAAAAUGAGAAACUACAUUAUCAGAAGAUAUACCACAGAUCCUGACUAUCAAACCAGACAGAAGCAAUAUGUGGUCCAGAGGUACAACACGGAUGCCAGCUUUCAAACCAGACAGAAGCAAUAUAUGGACCAGAAAUACAAAGAGGAUCAUGUCAGAGAAAAGAAGAAGGCAUACAUAAGAACAAAAUAUGCAUCGGAUCCAAACUACAGGCACAAACAAAAAAAAUCAAUUCAUGCCAGGUACCACAAUGACUCACAAUUCAGACUGCACCAUAUACAGCGCUGUGCAGAGUACCAGAGACACAAAAUGGCUACCACUGCAUCUUUCGCCAUUUAUAAAAAGUUGUGUGCGCAGAGAAUAAAGAAGAAAUACAGACGACUAGUAACACAAUUCCAGCAGGGUCCACAGUCUGAAGCACAGCCCCAGCUUGUAGUGAAUAGUGUGAUGCAAGCAGCCACAUUAGCUUUCCG
Oreochromis aureus is the source of this 3375-nucleotide long non-coding RNA. NCBI's taxonomy places the organism in Eukaryota, Metazoa, Chordata, Actinopteri, Cichliformes, Cichlidae. The record is from Ensembl.